UGGAAGUAAUGCCACGUGUUACAACACACAGGGGAGCUUCUACUGUCAGUGUCUACCUGGGUUUGUAUCCACAACGACUUUCAAGUUUACUCCUCUCACUGGGGAUUGUAAGGACCUCAAUGAGUGUCAGGGGAAACUACAGGUUUGUACCAGCAACGCCAUUUGCCUCAACACCAUCGGGAGCUUCAACUGCCAAUGCGAACCUGGUUUCAGAUUCUCUGCUCAGGCUGGACACUGUGAAGACCUCGAUGAGUGCCAGGAGACACCUCAGGUUUGUGGCAGCAACACCAGUUGCCUCAACACCUUCGGGAGCUACCACUGCCAGUGUCAACCUGGUUUCAGAGUCUCUAAUCACACUGUGAAUGACUGAUGGAAUGUCAAAUAUCAAGUUUUCUGAUGAGUUUACCAAUGAUUUUGUCACGUCUGCUCCCGCUCCCCCCCCUCUGGCGCUCGAGGUCGCCAGACGGCUCAUCAUUACGUACGCCUCUCACCAUCGUUACGCGCCCCAGCGCUUCAUCGGACUCACUUGGACUCCAUCACGUCAUUGAUUAUCUACCCUAUAUCUGUCACCCCCUCCAGUUAAUUUCCCGUGUCUGUAUUGAUGUUGUUACGUUUCUCCUGUCCAGACGCUGUUCCUGUUAUUAAUGUCUGUUAAUCAAAUAAAUAAUCAA
This is a long non-coding RNA of Salvelinus namaycush (lake trout), 671 nucleotides long. RefSeq lists it as uncharacterized. The record is from RefSeq and is a predicted model, not a curated record. Lineage: Eukaryota; Metazoa; Chordata; Actinopteri; Salmoniformes; Salmonidae. The transcript has 4 exons.